CAAUGCAGAAUAAUAAGUAGCACAAGCCAGGAAGUCAGAAUAAGAAGCCAUUGGUAUCAAACUCAGCUUUACCUUAUGACAGUGACCUUGGGCACCUCCUUUGUGAAACAGAGGCCAAACAUCUGCCCUCAGGGGCUGCUUUUGAGGCCUGAGUAAGAAGGAAGAAGAGGGAUCAAGUGAGUCGACCUAGGCAAAAAACAAACAGAACCAGAAAGGAAGGAGAAGCUGCAUGAAAUGAGUUUGAGCAGUGUUGUAGACAAAGCCAACCAGUAUCAUCAGGCUCAGAAACAUGGAGGUUGAGGUAAUUGUUGUCACAGAUCUUGAUAUGUGCUCAGAUCUCAGAAUCACAGGUUUAUCAGGAAGGAUGAACACCUGAGGCAAGUUGUCGGCCUUUAGACUCAGACCUGCUCGGCGAGCCCCCGGAUCCUUCAUACAGUCUGCUGUCCCAGCUGUCUUGUUAUCUCAGAAAGCCGAGGAGCUCUAGUGAGGACGAAGGUGAAGAGUGCAGUGGCUGCAGCCUUGAGCAGGAUUAACCUGAAUGUGGUAACAGAAAACCUCUCUGUGCAAACAAGUGCUCUAAUCCUGCAUCUUCUGCUUUGAGGAAAGAGGUUUUUGUGGUUUCCCACUACGUGAACAACUUUGGCAGCUGUCGAGGAGCCUAGAAAAUAGGAAAUAGCUGUAAAGACACUUCUGAGUGGGGAGAGAUGAGAGCAACAUCCUGAAAUCCAGGCACAGUGACUAAGGAGAAUCAUCUGUUGUUCUCUGUCUGCAGAAUUGUCUAUCAUUCUCUGUCUGCAAAGUCCAGUGACCAACAGCGACUAACAGUGACCAACAGUGACCAACAGCAACCAAUAGUGACCAACACCAACAGUGACCAACAGUGACCAACAGUGACCAACAGCGACCAACAGUGACCAACAGUGACCAACAGCAACUAGCAAUGACCAACAGUGACUAACAGUGACCAACAGCAACCAACAAUGACCAACAGUGACCAACAGCAACCAACAGUGACCAACAGCAACCAACAGCGACCAACAGUGACCAACAGUGACCAACAGCAACCAACAGUGACCAACAGUGACCAACAGCAACCAACAUGACCAACAGUGACCAACAGUGACCAACAGUGACCAACAGUGACCAACAGUGACCAACAGUGACCAACAGCAACCAACAAUGACCAACAGUGACCAACAGUGACCAACAGUGACCAACAGUAACCAACAGUGACCAACAGCAACCAACAGUGACCAACAGUGACCAACAGCAACCAACAGUGACCAACAGUGACCAACAGUGACCAACAGUGACCAGCAAUGACCAACAACCCACAUACUGCCUCUGAGGGCCCUAGUGUUUAUAUACCCUCUGAAAAAUCCCCAAAUUCCAAAUGUCACACAACCACAGAAAUGAUGUGCCACUGGCAAAAUCAUGCCCCUGCCAGAGUAAGAGGGUGUGGAUGCGUUGCAGCUUGGGUUCCUAUUCUCCCUGAUACAACACAGCUGGGUCACUUCUAUGGCCCACGAAGGUCUUCCUGGCUGGUGGCUCACCUGCUAGUCUUCUGAUGUGCCCACAAGGGCUUGUGUUGGAAGUGGUGAGCACAGAGCACGAAUGUGCCCCACUCUCUGGUCUUACGGGGUGCCUUAUGUUUGCUUCCUUUCAGGGACAGUAAUGGGGGCUCUCAGAAGUUGUUUAAAUAUUCAUUUCACUAGCCAUCAAUUGGAUAGGAAUGCAAGAGAAGAAGCAGCUUUUUAAGUGUUUAGAAGCUGUAAGAUCAUUGUGUGUACAUUUCAGGAUUGAUUUUGCUGAAGCAACACAAUACUCUUAAGAAAUAUGUAGCUGUACUUUCUCUCUACCGUAAAAUCCCCUUGAGAUUUAAACCCCACCUCCUGUUCAAGCCCAUUUCUUGUACUCAACCAUGUAAUUUUUUUUUUCUUUUGGCAGAAAGCAGUGUUAACAGGCUUUAAUGAGGGAUUCUCUUAUUUUUCUUGUUUGGUUGUUGUUUUGUUUCUUUUCUUGGGGAAGCUAGAUCUGUGUGUCCUAUCUCAGAAAUCAACAGACAUAUUUAAAGUGGGGAACAAACAUGCAAUGCUUGCAAAUGUCCCCGGACUAUCUCUCAGUCUAAAGUUGUACUAGUUUGAUUCACAAACUUUUCUAAAAAGUUUUUUUCUGUUAAAGGAUGAAACACACACUCCAGAUGAAAAUGGAAAAACAGGACCAGAUGUGAAGCUGGGCUGUCUCCAUUGGCCUGUUUUUCCCAUAGGAAUCCAACUAAGGGACAAGAUCAUUACCCGUCUUAGAAGCAAUUGCUAGUUCAUGUCUUUGCUGCCUGAGGGUGGCAGGCAGACUCCCCAGGGCCCUUCUUUCUGACCAAGUGAGACCCUGCAGUUCAGAAGCCCGGGUCUAGCUGAAGAGAAAAGCUCUGUGAAAGCGUUGGAAGUGAGCUGGGGGGCAAGGACAGCACAAGCUGAACUAUGUGUAACAAAAUUGGUUGGGGAAUAGGAGAGAAAACUUCCAGGAGUGGUCUCUGAUUUCUCGAGUUCCAUAAACUUCUCCUUCAGUUAAAGGAAGUAAAACCUCGUCUCAGUCUAGAGAUCAAGCUGUAUCUAAUCCUGGCAGAGAUCAUAAUAGCAGUACUGUUUAACUUUUGCUGAUGAACAAACUUUUGAAGAGACGAAGGUGCGUGACCUCCAGCUCACCAGGACACAUCUGUUACUUGUUUGAGUGAAAGUGGUGAUCUCUAGAGGCCUCUUAUUAUUCAGCGUCCAUUCCUGCAUUAUUCUAUGUAGAGCUGUGACCAAACCACAUCUAUCUAAAACUCUCCUUCCAUCCCAACGCUCCAAACACUUUUUCUGAAUAACCUAAAUAAAUUCUUAUUCUAUAGCUCUUUAGCUUACAGGCAGGCUGGAGAGCAUUGAAGAAAACACCUUACUAAUAAAUACAAUCUGUCUAAAGAAAAAGAAUAAUUUUUAUAGACUUCUACUUUUUUCUUUUUCAAAUGGAGGUAGUAGAGGCUAAUGUUUCUCUUGGAAAGGUAUUGUAAUGAGUCUUGUUUGUUUGGUGUGUGUGUGUGUGUGUGUGUGUGUGUGUGUAUACAGGUGGCUGGAGAUUUUAUGGAAUCAAGAAAGGAAAACUGAAAUUGUUCUAUGAAAUAACAUUAUACAGCACACCCUUCCUGAAACGGAGAAACUGUGCUUCAUUGGGGAGCAGUUUUCUUUUUUAUUACAAAGUUACACCGCUUCUUCAAGAUUCAUCAGGCAUCACUAAAAGAUGUUCUUGUGUUCUCAGAGUCUGCCCACUCAUUAGAUAAGCUUUGAGCG
Meriones unguiculatus (Mongolian gerbil) is the source of this 3323-nucleotide long non-coding RNA. RefSeq lists it as uncharacterized. NCBI's taxonomy places the organism in Eukaryota, Metazoa, Chordata, Mammalia, Rodentia, Muridae. The record is from RefSeq and is a predicted model, not a curated record. The transcript has 6 exons.